This 1201-nucleotide long non-coding RNA is filed under the name Malus domestica (apple). Its description in RNAcentral is "long non-coding RNA (MDOM_LNC017704)". The record is from RNAcentral. Lineage: Eukaryota; Viridiplantae; Streptophyta; Magnoliopsida; Rosales; Rosaceae.
ACGCCUUGAUGUGUGGUGCUAGGGAGUUGUAGGGCGAACUCCAGGUGAGUGGGCAGUUUUGUUUUCCGUAUAUAUAUAUAUACUUAACGUUUUCCCAGAAAUUGAAAAUGCAUGAAAUUAUGUUUAAAAUGAAAUGCAUAUGAGUUAUGUGGAAAAACGGGAAGUGAAAUACCAUGCAUAGAAUUGAUGUGAAAAGUAUAUAGAAAUGUGAGUUGAAAUGCCAUGCAUGAAUUAAUAUAUGAUGCAUAUGUAUGAAUUGGUGCGGUGGACGCACAGGUAAGAAUUGAUUUAUGAUGCAUAUGUAUGAAAUGGUGCGGUGGACGCACAGGUAAGAAUUGAUUUAUGAUGCAUAUGUAUGAAAUGGUGCGGUGGACGCACAGAUGAGUAUUUAAUUACUGUUAUGAUGAUGAUGAUAUAUAUUGAGCUCAAAUCCUGCACCAUGGUUUAGUGCUUAUAGUAUUCACCGCAUCGCACGCUCGCCUUGGAUCCAAGUAGAUGCUAGUCGUACAGUCCACGCGGAGUGGGUACGACAGACCAGUCGCGAGAGUGUUAGUGAGAUUCCGACUGGUGGGUGACCUUAGAUUAUGUGCACAGAUGAUUUAUGAGAAGCACUAGAGCGUAACUUGUGUGCAGAAGGCCGGACGGGUCACAGAGGUGACUCCGGUAGAGUGAUAAUGAUAGAUUUUGAGCUCUAGGUUCAACCGUAUAGGGCUAUUAGAGGGCCUACAGUUGAUUACUUUCUUGCACCUGAUAUGAUUAUGUUGAUGCAUUCAUACCUUAUAACUGUUGAGAUGAUGUGGCAUGGCAUAAUUAAUAUGAGAAAUGUUGAGAUGACAUGGCAUGGCAUGAUUGAUAAAGAGAUAAUGUUGAGAUAGUAAAAAUGAAGUUUUGAGAAUAUAUAUGUAUAUUUAUAUUUUACAUUUCUGGGAAAGUAUACAGGUUUUACGGAGAGGGGUUACAACGUUUUGAGAAAUGUUUGGAUUUGGAAAAGAAUUGUUUUACUGACCCACUCAAUUUUGGUUUUGCGCCCCUCCAGGUUCAGGAAUCACAAAGGUGUGGUGACUACGAGGAAUUCGACGGUGUUAUGACAGAAUGGACCAAAUUAGGACGCACCUUCGGGUGUAUUAACUUUGAAGUUGUAUAAUUAAAGCUUCCGUACUGUGCAAAUGGUUACGUCACUCUCACGUGACGGCCAGCAUGC